This 253-nucleotide ribosomal RNA is filed under the name uncultured bacterium. RNAcentral describes it as "partial 16S ribosomal RNA". It matches the Rfam family "Bacterial small subunit ribosomal RNA", at positions 524 to 776 of the family's 1533-position model. The record is from RNAcentral.
UACGUAGGGGGCGAGCGUUGCCCGGAUUCAUUGGGCGUAAAGGGCGCGCAGGCGGCCCGGCGCGUCGCGCGUGAAAUCCCCCGGCUCAACCGGGGGGGGUCGCGCGAUACGGCCGGGCUGGAGCGAGGUAGGGGGCAGCGGAAUUCCCGGUGUAGUGGUGGAAUGCGUAGAUAUCGGGAGGAACACCCGUGGCGAAGGCGGCUGCCUGGACCUCCGCUGACGCUCAGGCGCGAAAGCGUGGGGAGCGAUCCGG